GGAAAAAGAAAGAGAGCUCCGUACAACUGUUUCAAUGACAAAGAAUGGAUUAGAUUGAAAAUGAUCCUUCCAGUUCGGGCUCAAAUGGUGGUGACAUACUUUCACUGCAUGGGCCGAGAAUGGGUUUAGAAUUGUUUCUUGUAUCAAAAGGUUGUACUGAAAAUUGCCUUGAAAAUAUUUUCUAAAUUGUAGGCCUGAUGAAAAUUCUUUGAGGAAUAUGUCUUUUUUUUUUUUUAUCAGACUCCAGUUUUCCAAGGUGAAUAUAAGAACAGAGAAUAUCCGAGCAACUCCUAGACUAUUCAGACUUGAGGUUCCUACGCAUUUCAUUUUCUCCAUAUUGGCAGGUAAUUUAAAAAUAAAUACUGCUGCAGGUGAACCGCUAGAAAGUAUUUUACUGUCAUUGAACCGAAAGGUCAAGAUGAAGCAGAUUUCCUGAUAUCAUCUGAUUGGAGCAAAGGGAGUGAAAGCAGGUGCGCUCUGUAAUCUGGGGUUAGAGC
This 497-nucleotide long non-coding RNA is filed under the name Ursus maritimus (polar bear). Its description in RNAcentral is "lncRNA (ENSUMAG00000023121.1)". The record is from RNAcentral. Lineage: Eukaryota; Metazoa; Chordata; Mammalia; Carnivora; Ursidae.